RNAcentral lists this ribosomal RNA (1422 nucleotides) under metagenome. RNAcentral describes it as "bacterial SSU rRNA". It matches the Rfam family "Archaeal small subunit ribosomal RNA". The record is from RNAcentral.
GUUGAUCCUGCGGGAGGUUGCUGCUAUUGGGAUUCGACUAAGCCAUGCAAGUCAGGUAGCAAUACCGGCGACAUGCUCAGUAACACGUCGAUAAUCUACCCUAAGGUUAGGGAUAACCUCGGGAAACUGAGGGUAAACCCUGAUAGGCAAGAUGCUCUGGAAUAUAGCUCUUGUUCAAACUCGAGCCUUAGGAUGAGUCGGCGGCCGAUUAGGCUGUUGGUGGUGUAACGGACCACCAAACCAAUGAUCGGUAGGGGCCUUGAAAGAGGUAGCCCCGAGAAGGACACUGGAAUACUGGUCCUAGCCCUACGGGGUGCAGCAGGCGCGAAACUUUUACAAUGCGCGAAAGCGUGAUAAGGGGAUCCCAAGUGCUUGUACUAUGUGCAGGCUUUUGUCAAGGGUAAACACCUUGGCGAAUAAGUGGUGGGCAAGACUGGUGCCAGCCGCCGCGGUAACACCAGCGCCACAAGUGGCAGCCGCGUAUUUGGCCUAAAGCGUCCGUAGCUGGUACGGCAAAUCUUUUGUGAAAUUGUUCGGCUUAACCGAACGACGUGCAGGAGACACUACCGUACUUGAGACCGGGAGGAGUCAGAGGUAUUCUUGGGGGAGCGGUAAAAUGCUAUAAUCCCAGGAAGACCACUGUGGCGAAGGCGUCUGACUAGAACGGAUCUGACAGUGAGGGACGAAAGCCAGGGGAGCGAACCGGAUUAGAUACCCGAGUAGUCCUGGCCGUAAACGCUGCGAGCAAGGUGUUGCCUAUUCUACAUGAAUGGGCAGUGUCGAAACGAAGGUGUUAAGCUCGCCGCCUGGGAAGUACAGUCGCAAGGCCGAAACUUAAAGGAAUUGGCGGGGGAGCACUACAAGGGGUGCGGCGUGCGGUUCAAUCUAACUCAACGCAGAGAACCUUACUACGGCGACGGCAGAAUGAAGGUCAACCUGAAGGGUUUACCUGACGAGCCGAGAGGUAGUGCAUGGCCGCCGUCAGCUCGUGCCGUAAGGUGUCCUCUUAAGUGAGGCAACGAGCGAGACCUGUGUCUGCAAUUGCUAACGGUUCCCACGGGAAGACUGAGCACAUUGCAGUUACUGCCUUGGAAACAAGGAGGAAGGUGCAGGCUACGGUAGGUCUGUAUGCUCCGAAUCCGCUAGGCUACACGCGCGCAACAAUGGUAGACACAAUGGGCUGCGACCCUGAGAAGGGAAGCUAAUCCUCGAAAAUCUAUCCAAGUCCAGAUUGAGGGUUGUAACUCACCCUCAUGACGACGGAAUCCCUAGUAAUCAGAGUUCAUCAUACUCUGGUGAAUACGUCCCUGCUCCUUGCACACACCGCCCGUCAAACCAACCGAGCAGGGUUUGAAUGAGACUCAACUUUUUUGGUUGUUUCGAAUUUGAGCUCAGUGAGGUGGGUUAAGUCGUCACAAGGUC